UACGUAGGUGGCAAGCGUUGUCCGGAAUUAUUGGGCGUAAAGAGCUCGUAGGCGGUCUGUUGCGUCCGCUGUGAAAACCCGGGGCUUAACCCUGGGCUGGCAGUGGAUACGGACAGACUAGAGGUAGGUAGGGGAGAAUGGAAUUCCCGGUGUAGCGGUGAAAUGCGCAGAUAUCGGGAGGAACACCGGUGGCGAAGGCGGUUCUCUGGGCCUUACCUGACGCUGAGGAGCGAAGGCCAGGGGAGCAAACGGG
Molecule: ribosomal RNA, 253 nt
Filed under: uncultured bacterium
Lineage: Bacteria
Description: partial 16S ribosomal RNA
Rfam family: Bacterial small subunit ribosomal RNA
Source: RNAcentral